GGGGAAUAUUGCACAAUGGGCGAAAGCCUGAUGCAGCGACGCCGCGUGAGGGAUGACGGCCUUCGGGUUGUAAACCUCUUUCGACAGGGACGAAGCGCAAGUGACGGUACCUGUAGAAGAAGCACCGGCCAACUACGUGCCAGCAGCCGCGGUAAUACGUAGGGUGCGAGCGUUGUCCGGAAUUACUGGGCGUAAAGAGCUUGUAGGCGGUUCGUCGCGUCGUUCGUGAAAACUUGGGGCUCAACCCCAAGCUUGCGGGCGAUACGGGCGGACUAGAGUACUUCAGGGGAGACUGGAAUUCCUGGUGUAGCGGUGAAAUGCGCAGAUAUCAGGAGGAACACCGGUGGCGAAGGCGGGUCUCUGGGAAGUAACUGACGCUGAGAAGCGAAAGCGUGGGUAGCGAAC
This 405-nucleotide ribosomal RNA is filed under the name uncultured bacterium. RNAcentral's name for it is "bacterial SSU rRNA". It matches the Rfam family "Bacterial small subunit ribosomal RNA", at positions 356 to 773 of the family's 1533-position model. The record is from RNAcentral.